GGGGGCAGGGCGAGGGCAGGGCGGGGGCAGGGCGCCACCUCGUGGCUGGGGUGCCUGCGCAAACCAGCUGCCUCACCAGCCCUGGAGCUCGCACCACGAGGCCUCACCUCACUUGUGCUGUCCCCCUGGCCACGUCUGUCUUUGUCUCACCUGACGUGCUGUGCCUCUCCUGCCAGGGCUCUGUCCUGUCUGCCGCCACUACCGCCGCAUGGCCCUACUCGGCCUGCAGCCCGCUCGCCGCUUCGCUCCCUCAGAGACCCCGCGCCAGCGGUCCGUAUUGGCCAAGGUCAUAUUUCUCUGCUUCUUUGCACGCCUGAUAAUUUUUAACUUGAUAUCUACAUUGUGAAUUUCACCUUGUUUUUAUAGAGACCGGGUCUUGCUAUGUUUCCCAAGCUGUUCUUGAUCUCCUGGCUUCAAGUGAUCCUUGACCUCCCAAAGUACUGGGAGGAUAGACAUGAGCCACUGUGCCUGACCCAAGUGGAAUAAACUCUAAUGUUAAGUGGGGGAAGUCAAGAUGGCUAACCAGGCACAGCCAGGUGGAUCAUUUCUUACCAAAAGGAUGAGACUUCAGGAAGACUGGCACAUUCUGAGCAGAUCUUUGUGGGGAAGGCAUUGAGAGUGGACAGAGCUUCAGGCACGUCUCAGGCAAGCCUCCCUCUCAUGGAAGUUCCCAGGAAGCCCACCAUGUAAGUGUCUGCACGUGUCUGUAGAAGAGGAGGAAAUAUUUUUCCGGGAGCCGGCUGAUUACACAAAGAACAAAGUUCUGCAAUUGUAACCCUCAAGAGAAGAGGAGGAAGAGAGAAGUAUUUGGUGCUCUAAAACAAAACAAAACAAAACAAAAAACUUCCAACAUAGACAACUCAGGAUCAGAUAGCUUCACCAGUAAGUCAUAUCAAACAUUUAAAGAAUUAACACCACUCUUCUCAAACUCUUUCAAAAGAAAUGGAAAGUGAAAAAAUACUUUUGAAAUCAUUGUAUGAGGCCAGCUACAAAGACACGACGAGAAAACAAGAUAAUAGACCAAUAGAUUUUCUGAAUAUAGAUGAAUGAAUGUGGGAAAAUACCUCACGUCCAUGGAUUAGAAGACUUAAUACUGUUAAAAUGAUGUUUCCACUCAAAACAAUAUACAGUGUCAAUGCAAUCCCUAUCAAAAUCUCAAUGGUCUUUUUUUAGAAAUGUAAAAACCCAUUAUGAAAUUUAUAUGCUAUUUCAAUGAAUCCUGAAUAAGCAAAACAGUAUUAGGGAAAAAUGUUGGAGAAUUGACAUUUUUUCUUUUAAAAUGUACUAUAAAUCUAUAGUAAUCAAACAUUAUGGCUCUGGCAUAAGGAUAGAAAUAUAGGUUAAUGAAAUUGAAUUGAUAACCCAAUAAUAAACUCUUACAUAAGCAGUCAAUUGAAUAACCCAGACAUGGUGGCUCACACUUGCAAUCCCAGCACUUUGGGAGGCCAUGGUAGGAGCAUCACUUGAACCCCGAAGUUUAAGACCAGCCUGGUCAACGUGGUGAGACCCUAUCUCUGCCAAAAAUUUAAAAUUUGCCAGGCAUCGUGGUGCAUGCUUGUAGUCCCAGUUACUCAGGAGGCUAAGGCAGGAGGAUCACCUGAGCCUGGGAGGUCAAGACUGCAGUGAGCCAUGGAUUGUGCCACUGUACUCCAGCCUGGAUAACAGAGCGAGACUCUAUCGCUACAAUUUAAAUUUAAAAAUAUUAAAGAUCAGUUGAAUUUCGCAAGGGUACCAAGAUAAUUUAAUGGAAAAAGAAAAGUUUCUGCAACAAGUAGUACUAGAAAAACUGAAUAUGCACAUGCAAAAUAUGAAGUUGAGACCAUUAUACCAUAUUCAAAAAUUAAUUCAAAUUGAUUCAAAUAGAGUCAUUUCCCCUUAUCUGUAGAAGCUAUGUUUCACGACCUCACCCAAUGGUUGAAACUGGACAGUAUCAAACCCUGUAACUGUAUAUAUAAUGUGUGUGUAUGUGUGUGUGUAUAUAUAUAUGUGUGUGUAUAUAUACUUAUAUAUAUGUUUAAUACAUAAGUUAGGAAGAAAUUAACAACAAUAAAUAAUAAAAUAGUACAAUUGUAACAAUACACUGUAAUAAAAGUUAUGUGAAUGUGGU
Molecule: long non-coding RNA, 2107 nt
Organism: Pan troglodytes (chimpanzee)
Lineage: Eukaryota; Metazoa; Chordata; Mammalia; Primates; Hominidae
Exons: 6
Source: RefSeq, a predicted model, not a curated record